CACACACACACACACACACCCCAUAUGCUUUGUGACUGUUGCACAAUUUCUUUUCUGUUGCUCUUGCCAAAAAAAGAAUAAGAAUGCAUGUACAUGUAUAGGAGUCACCAAAAUAUAUGCGAGUCUCCACAUAAGGUCAUGCACAUUGACUACAAUGUGAGAAGUGACCUUGGAGUUAUUCAAGUUGGUGGGGAAGCUCCCUGACAAUGACAUUGUUAAAAUUUCCAACAACUUGCUACAGAUGCAGUCCCUGAGCAGCCAAAAUAGGUAAAAGGAAUACUAGGGAGGGUCCAUAAAGGAUAAAUACGCAUAGCAAUCUGAAAGCAAAGUUUUUUUAACCUUAUUGUUUCUCUGAUCGACUCCUUUUCCCCAUUGUUUCAAGCUGCCUUGUAUGCUUCGGAUGCCCUAUAUCACUCUCUCUCCUACUGAGCAGUACUUAAAAAUGA
RNAcentral lists this long non-coding RNA (446 nucleotides) under Homo sapiens (human). Its description in RNAcentral is "non-protein coding lnc-TLE4-8:2". Lineage: Eukaryota; Metazoa; Chordata; Mammalia; Primates; Hominidae. The record is from RNAcentral.